AUUGAACGCUGGCGGCAGGCCUAACACAUGCAAGUCGAACGGUAACAGGAAGAAGCUUGCUUCUUUGCUGACGAGUGGCGGACGGGUGAGUAAUGUCUGGGAAACUGCCUGAUGGAGGGGGAUAACUACUGGAAACGGUAGCUAAUACCGCAUAACGUCGCAAGACCAAAGAGGGGGACCUUCGGGCCUCUUGCCAUCGGAUGUGCCCAGAUGGGAUUAGCUAGUAGGUGGGGUAACGGCUCACCUAGGCGACGAUCCCUAGCUGGUCUGAGAGGAUGACCAGCCACACUGGAACUGAGACACGGUCCAGACUCCUACGGGAGGCAGCAGUGGGGAAUAUUGCACAAUGGGCGAAGGCCUGAUGCAGCCAUGCCGCGUGUAUGAAGAAGGCCUGCGGGUUGUAAAGUACUUUCAGCGGGGAGGAAGGGAGUAAAGUUAAUACCUUUGCUCAUUGACGUUACCCGCAGAAGAAGCACCGGCUAACUCCGU
Molecule: ribosomal RNA, 489 nt
Filed under: uncultured bacterium
Lineage: Bacteria
Description: partial 16S ribosomal RNA
Rfam family: Bacterial small subunit ribosomal RNA
Source: RNAcentral